UGAACCAGCGAGGGGUGCCAUUGGAGUAUACCCGACCCAUGGGUGUCAUUCCUUCGGCUGAGAUUAUACCCUAAAUAACCUGAUCCGGGUCAUACCGGCGGAGGGACUGCUGUGCUCGAUUGAU
This 124-nucleotide non-coding RNA is filed under the name Aphanomyces astaci. RNAcentral describes it as "TPP sequence". It matches the Rfam family "TPP riboswitch aptamer (THI element)". From Rfam's summary of the family: Vitamin B(1) in its active form thiamin pyrophosphate (TPP) is an essential coenzyme that is synthesised by coupling of pyrimidine and thiazole moieties in bacteria. The previously detected thiamin-regulatory element, thi box was extended, resulting in a new, highly conserved RNA secondary structure, the THI element, which is widely distributed in eubacteria and also occurs in some archaea. The record is from Rfam by way of RNAcentral. Lineage: Eukaryota; Oomycota; Saprolegniomycetes; Saprolegniales; Verrucalvaceae.